CCGACAGAGGGAAGCGAAGCGGUGACGUGGAGCGAAUCCCAAAAAAGGCGUCCCAGUUCGGAUUGUAGUCUGCAACCCGACUACAUGAAGCUGGAAUCGCUAGUAAUCGCGGAUCAGAAUGCCGCGGUGAAUACGUUCCCGGGUCUUGUACACACCGCCCGUCACACCAUGGGAGUCGGGAAUGCCCGAAGUCAGUGGCCCAACCGGAAAGGGGGAGCUGCCGAAGGCAGGCCUGGUGACUGGGGUGAAGUCGUAACAAGGUAAC
Molecule: ribosomal RNA, 265 nt
Filed under: uncultured bacterium
Lineage: Bacteria
Description: partial 16S ribosomal RNA
Rfam family: Bacterial small subunit ribosomal RNA
Source: RNAcentral